Molecule: ribosomal RNA, 845 nt
Filed under: uncultured bacterium
Lineage: Bacteria
Description: bacterial SSU rRNA
Rfam family: Bacterial small subunit ribosomal RNA
Source: RNAcentral
GAUGAACGCUAGCGACAGGCUUAACACAUGCAAGUCGAGGGGCAGCGCGAGAGUAGCAAUACUUUUGGCGGCGACCGGCGCACUGGUGAGUAACACGUAUGCGACCUGCCCCGUGCUGGGGGAUAACCCCGGGAAACUGGGCCUAAUACCCCAUGAGCCACGAGAUCGCAUGGUUUUGUGGUAAAAGGUUUUUCCGGCGCGGGAUGGGCAUGCGGCGCAUUAGCUAGUUGGUGAGGUAACGGCUCACCAAGGCGACGAUGCGUAGGGGUUCUGAGAGGAAGGUCCCCCACACUGGUACUGAGACACGGACCAGACUCCUACGGGAGGCAGCAGUGAGGAAUAUUGGUCAAUGGACGGUAGUCUGAACCAGCCAAGUCGCGUGCGGGAUGAAGGCCCUUUGGGUCGUAAACCGCUUUGGUCGGGGAGCAAUGUGCGGGACGUGUCCUGCAGUGAGCGUACCCGAAGAACAAGCAUCGGCUAACUCCGUGCCAGCAGCCGCGGUAAUACGGAGGAUGCGAGCGUUAUCCGGAUUCAUUGGGUUUAAAGGGUGCGCAGGCGGCACAUCAAGUCAGCGGUCAAACUGCGGCGCUCAACGCCGUAUCGCCGUUGAAACUGAUGAGCUUGAGUGCGUGCGAGGGAGGCGGAAUGCGCAGUGUAGCGGUGAAAUGCAUAGAUAUUGCGCAGAACUCCGAUUGCGAAGGCAGCUUCCCAGCGCGCCACUGACGCUCAUGCACGAAAGCGUGGGUAUCGAACAGGAUUAGAUACCCUGGUAGUCCACGCGGUAAACGAUGAUCACUGGCUGUGCGGUUUAAUUGCGAAUUGCGCGGCUGAGCGAAAGCGUUAAG